AGUGAACGCUGGCGGUAGGCCUAACACAUGCAAGUCGAACGGCAGCACAGAGGAGCUUGCUCCUUGGGUGGCGAGUGGCGGACGGGUGAGGAAUACAUCGGAAGCUACUCUGUCGUGGGGGAUAACGUAGGGAAACUUACGCUAAUACCGCAUACGACCUACGGGUGAAAGCAGGGGACCUUCGGGCCUUGCGCGAUUGAAUGAGCCGAUGUCGGAGUAGCUAGUUGGCGGGGUAAAGGCCCACCAAGGCGACGAUCCGUGGCUGGUCUAGGAGGAUGAUCUACCACACGGGAACUGAGUCACGGUCCAGACUGCACCGGGAGGCAGCAGUGGUGAAUAUUGGACAAUGGGCGCAAGCCUGAUCCAGCCAUACCGCGUGGGUGAAGAAGGCCUUCGGGUUGUAAAGCCCUUUUGUUGGUAAAGAAAUCCAGCUGGCUAAUACCCGGUGGGGAUGACGGUACCCGAAGAAUAAGCACCGGCUAACUUCGUGCCAGCCGCCGCCGUAA
This 506-nucleotide ribosomal RNA is filed under the name uncultured bacterium. RNAcentral's name for it is "partial 16S ribosomal RNA". It matches the Rfam family "Bacterial small subunit ribosomal RNA", at positions 29 to 523 of the family's 1533-position model. The record is from RNAcentral.